RNAcentral lists this ribosomal RNA (429 nucleotides) under uncultured archaeon. RNAcentral's name for it is "bacterial SSU rRNA". It matches the Rfam family "Archaeal small subunit ribosomal RNA", at positions 474 to 903 of the family's 1478-position model. The record is from RNAcentral.
AACCAGCUCUUCAAGUGGUCGGGAUAAUUAUUGGGCUUAAAGUGUCCGUAGCCGGUUUAGUAAGUUCCUGGUAAAAUCGGGUAGCUUAACUAUCCGUGUGCUAGGAAUACUGCUAUACUAGAGGGCGGGAGAGGUCUGAGGUACUACAGGGGUAGGGGUGAAAUCUUAUAAUCCUUGUAGGACCACCAGUGGCGAAGGCGUCAGACUGGAACGCGCCUGACGGUGAGGGACGAAAGCCAGGGGAGCGAACCGGAUUAGAUACCCGGGUAGUCCUGGCUGUAAACGAUGCAUACUAGGUGAUGGUACGGCCAUGAGCCGUAUCAGUGCCGUAGGGAAACCGUUAAGUGUGCCGCCUGGGAGGUACGGUCGCAAGGCUAAAACUUAAAGGAAUUGGCGGGGGAGCACCACAAGGGGUGAAGCCUGCGGUUC